Molecule: non-coding RNA, 242 nt
Organism: Orientia tsutsugamushi
Lineage: Bacteria; Pseudomonadati; Pseudomonadota; Alphaproteobacteria; Rickettsiales; Rickettsiaceae
Source: Rfam
AAAAUCCAGUUAUGGAAGGAGAAGCUAGCUCCACCAUAUAGGAAGUCUUGUGCUGCAAAAGCAACAACAGUAGUAAAGCGUAGACAGUGAAACAUUCGAGCCGAAACCAAAUGGUGAACGUGAUAACCCUAAAAGUGUGAUGUAGUGGAAGCCAAUAUGCUCUACUACAUAGUAUGCAAAAGAAGAUUGGAGGUCAAACUAGUGAAAAUCCAAAAAUCUUCAACCACAGGGGGUGCAGGCGU